Molecule: long non-coding RNA, 306 nt
Filed under: Homo sapiens (human)
Lineage: Eukaryota; Metazoa; Chordata; Mammalia; Primates; Hominidae
Description: non-protein coding lnc-TRABD2A-7:1
Source: RNAcentral
AUGGCGGACGAAGUAGACCAGCAACAAACUACCAACACUGUAGAGGAGCCCCUGGAUUUUAUCAGGCUCAGCCUAGGUGAGAGAAUUUAUGUGAAAAUGAGAAAUGACCGAGAGCUUCGAGGCAGAUUACCAUGCUUAUGAUCAACAUUUAAAUAUGAUCUUGGGAGACAUGGAAGAAACUGUGACUACUAUAGAAAUUGAUGAAGAAACAUAUGAAGAGAUAUAUAAACCAAUGAAAUGGAAUAUUCCAAUGCUUUUUGUCCAGGGAGAUGUCGUUGUCCUGGUUGCCCCUCCACUGAGAGUUGG